RNAcentral lists this non-coding RNA (30 nucleotides) under Mus musculus (house mouse). The record is from RNAcentral. Lineage: Eukaryota; Metazoa; Chordata; Mammalia; Rodentia; Muridae.
UAUCUGUUCUUGGAGACAGGCAUUCUCCUU